GAGGGCAUUGUGAGUGAGGGGAACCCUGCGAAGAAAUACACUGUACAGCAGCAAAUUGGCCAAGGGUGGCCAUCAAGAAGAUUUUUCUCCGCGACAGAAAGAACAAAAGGGAGCUUGUUGUAACUGAGGUUUCACUCCUGAGUAGCAUGAGGCACCCCAAUAUCAUUCGCUAUAUAGACAGCUACCUUUUCAAUGAAGAACUGGCUGGUGACGGAAUAUGUGGAGGGAUGCACCUUAGCUGCUGUGGUUUCCAUACAAGCUCUUGAGGAAGAGAUGAUAGCCUCUAUCAGUCGGGAGUGCCUGAAAGGACUGGACUUCCUUCAUUCAAAUCGAGUGAUUCACAGAGACAUCAAAAGUGACAAUAUUCUUCUGGGAAUCGAUGGAUCUGUGAAAUUGAGUAGGCGUUCCUGGGCACAGUGUUCCUGGGAGGCAGGGUAUAUGUAGUGUAUAUAUAUGUAUAUAUGUAUAUAUGUACAGCGUUUGUGUAAAUAUAUAUUGUGUGUAUCUACACAAUGUACUGUAGAGUUAUUACCAUUGUAUAUAGAUAAUGUAUAUAUGUGUUUGUAUAUAGAGAGACUGUGUAUAUAGUGUGUAUAUAUGUAGUGUAUAUAUAUAGCGUUUGUGUAAAUAAAUAUUGUGUGUAUCUGUAGUAUAUGUAUAUAAAUAUGUAUUUUUAUAGACAUUCGAAGGCCCUUCUAUAGGUGCUACACACUGUAGAGAGAGGUAUAAUAUCGUGUAUAGGAUAAUGUAUGAUCUCUUCUGUAAACGAUACCCUGUAUUUAUCGGUGUGUGUGUUGCGUCGGUACCUGGCCAUGGUUUUACCUGGACGGAUGGAAGGAUGGGUGGGUGAAUGGAUACAGAUCGCCCUCUCGCGGCUGCCAGCGGGGCAGGCGGAGGCAGGAGUCCCUGAAUAUGUGUUUGUAAACCUUUUGAAGUUAUGAAAGGCCGAAAUGAAACAUUUCUCACCCAUUUCCCCCGUUUUCAUUUCCGAGGGACUCUCUGCUGAAGGUGGCCUGAGUAUGUACAUAAAUGCAGCACCCUCCAAAAAACCCUGUUUUUCCCACAAGUUGUUAAAAAAUACUGCUCAGCUCUGUUAGGAGCUGGAGCCCACAGCGAGGGGGCAUCGUCCCUGCCCAGCCUUGGCUAUCAUGCGGGGAACAGGCAGCCUGGCUUCACCUGGGAUUCACUGGGGAAGCCAGAAGCCUUGUAAAUCAGCACAGCCAGUUGUGUUCCCAGCUUGGGAACUCAGCUCCUUCUGAUGGGCAAACCCUGUCUGUUCCAACUACUUCCAAGAAAUAAUAAAUGCAGAUGUACAGACA
This is a long non-coding RNA of Pipra filicauda (Wire-tailed manakin), 1319 nucleotides long. RefSeq lists it as uncharacterized. The transcript has 4 exons. Lineage: Eukaryota; Metazoa; Chordata; Aves; Passeriformes; Pipridae. The record is from RefSeq and is a predicted model, not a curated record.